AAAGGUUCGCUUAGUCGCGAUUAAUUGGGAACAGGAGUGAGAAUCUCCGACUGUCCCGCAGCAGUGAACUCCAUUAUGGCCUUGAAACAGUGAAAGCCAUUGCCACUUUUAGGUGAGAAGGCGUUUCGGGGUGGAGGAAAGUCUGAAGACCAGCCUUUUUCG
Molecule: non-coding RNA, 162 nt
Filed under: uncultured Prevotella sp.
Lineage: Bacteria; Pseudomonadati; Bacteroidota; Bacteroidia; Bacteroidales; Prevotellaceae
Source: RNAcentral